UCAGUGAGAGUAAAGAAGAGGGGAGUAUCGUCGCUCUGGUCUGUAAAAAUGAUGGUGUGGUGUUGUGGGAGAAAUGCUCUGAUGGAGGGACAUCUCAGAUCCUCAUAGCAGAAAAUGGAAAAAUCACCAAAGAAUACAAACCUGAUCCAGAGAACAGAUACAGUAUAAUGUCUAAGGAUUUAACACUGAUUAUAAAGAGUGUCUCUGUAUCUGAUUCUGGGAUUUACUACUGUAACAAUAAUCCUGUAUUGAAUCUAACAGUGAUUCCUACAUCAGCACCACCACUAUCAACACCACCCACCGCUGAGCUCUGUAUCAUCUUUACCGUGACGGGCAGUGUCUUUCUACCGCUGACAUUCGUUUCUCUUCUCAUUACAAAGAUUUUUCCAGAUAAAGAGGAAGAGGAUGAGAUGCUCUCUGAAGACGUCUACACUACUGUGGAAUUUCUCCCCUUUGAUAAAUCAUAAACAGGUAGAUAUACUGAGAUAUUAUUCAUAUAUAGUGAUGCAUAUUUAAGCAUACACAUUUGUAAGCAAUGCAUCUACAUGACAUCGCAGCUCAAGAUAUAGAUAUUAUUGUAAAAAUAAAUAAUUGUGUAGUGAUUAUUUUUAUUUUAUUUUAUUGACAAUAGCAUAUUGAGAAUUUCAUUAAUGCUGGCCCAUCUGUACAUGUGGUAAUUUUUUAAGUAUCAUAAACUUGUUUUAAAAUAUAGUGAUAUUAAUAUUUUUACUAUAGUGUGAUUGAGCCCGGAGCAUUAAGCACAGUGUGAGUGCAGACAGGCAGAGGGCGCAAUUGUGCUCAGGCAUGAUUACUGCUAUCUCUGUUUAUGCAGCUGCAAUGAAACAGUGUAUUUGCCCCUUUAUACAUAUAUAAAGGGGCAAAUACACACACA
This is a long non-coding RNA of Astyanax mexicanus (Mexican tetra), 892 nucleotides long. RefSeq lists it as uncharacterized. Lineage: Eukaryota; Metazoa; Chordata; Actinopteri; Characiformes; Acestrorhamphidae. The transcript is spliced from 3 exons. The record is from RefSeq and is a predicted model, not a curated record.